This 253-nucleotide ribosomal RNA is filed under the name uncultured bacterium. RNAcentral describes it as "partial 16S ribosomal RNA". It matches the Rfam family "Bacterial small subunit ribosomal RNA", at positions 524 to 776 of the family's 1533-position model. The record is from RNAcentral.
UACGUAGGGGGCAAGCGUUGUCCGGAUUUAUUGGGCGUAAAGAGCGUGUAGGCGGCUAGAUAGGUCCGUUGUGAAAACUGGAGGCUCAACCUCCAGCUGUCGAUGGAAACCAUCUGGCUAGAGUCCGGAAGAGGAGAGUGGAAUUCCUGGUGUAGCGGUGAAAUGCGCAGAUAUCAGGAAGAACACCCGUGGCGAAGGCGGCUCUCUGGGACGUGGCUGACGCUGAGACGCGAAAGCGUGGGGAGCAAACAGG